AACCUCUGAUUCCUAAUCGUUCAUACAGGAAAGAGACUUGGAAUUCUGUCAUCAUGAUGAAGAGGUGGCAAAAUAGAAACUUGAAGUUGUGUCUGAUUCGUUGGAUAGGUGUUUGUAUAAAGCUCAUCUUUGAUAUGAAGUAGGCUGAGUGGCAAUUGCUGGUUGUGAGUGGAGCCUAAACCAUGGAAGGAAUGAGUUGAUGAGUGAAUGAGUGAAUGAAAGAAAAUGUAGACCGUACACAGGCAGAUCAAUGUGUGCAGCUUUUUUCUUUUGCCAGAAAUUUAAAGUGUUUUCUUUAAUUUAAAAACAUAUUAAUGCUCUUUUUAGUAUUUUCUUGUAAAUGUGAAAUGUCUGCCAGUGCCUAGUUAAAUUAAAUAUGCAUGUACUCAUUUACACAGCAGUUCUGCUCCUGGGCUCCUAUACCAAAGAAAUCACACCUACCUCCAUCAGAAACAGGUGUGAGGCUUUUUUUCUGGUGACAUUGUUUGAGGAGGUAGGGAGUGGGGACUCAGACAUCCGUUCCUGGGUGAGGGGACGGGUAACAUGCAGGGAGCGCAUGGGCAGUUAGAGGUAAUCCGCAAGCUGCAGGCAUUGCAGUGUGGACAGCAGGAAGGCACGGUGCUGAGUUUGAAAGGCAGAAAUGGAGUGUGUAACACAGUACCAUUUACAUAAACUAAAAAUACAUCAGCAUGGCUGGGUGCGGUGGCUCACGCCUAUAAUCCCAGCACUUUGGAAGGCCGAGGUGGGUGGAUCAUGAGGUCAGGAGAUCGAGACCAGCCUGGCCAACAUGGUGAAACCCCAUCUAUACUAAAAAUACAAAGAAUAGCUGGGUGUGGUGGUACUCCUGUAAUCCCAGCUGCUCGGGAGGUUGAGGCAGGAGAAUCGCUUGAAACUGGGAGGUGGAGAUUGCAGUAAGCAGAGAUUGCAGUGAGCUGAAAUUGCACUACUGCACUCCAGCCUGGCGAUAGAGCAAGACUCUAUCUAAAAAAAAAAGAAAAAAAAAAACAGUACGAGGACGGAUCUAUUUUAAACCCAUUAGAAAAGUCGGCUAUAGGGAAUGGGAUGACAGAUGGACACAGAAGGCAAUCACGUGUCCAUACAUCCAUGAAGUGAGAGACAAGCCUUACGCGGACCAGUAUCAUCAUAUGCUGUUACAGGAGGGUACGUAACUUUUGGAACUUUAGGCUGAAAAAGUUCAAAUACACAUGAAGGUAUAAGCAUAUAAAGAUAAAUGUGAACAUGUUUUGCAUACUGGCCUAAUUCCAAUUUCUAGAGGAAGCAACCAUUAGCAGUUUGAAACCAUUUGUUGUAUAUUGUUCCAGACUCAUUUCCGUGCACAUAGAAAGUCUAAUUUUGUCUUUACAGAAAUGACAUCAUGCUAUGUCUAUCGCCCUGCACUUUGCCUUUUCCACUUACAAUUUCAUAUCUAUCCACCUAUCUAUCCAUUAUCUAUCUAUCCAUCUGUCAUCUACCCAUUCAUCUUCCAUCAUCUGUGCACCUGUGUAUCUACAUAUCCAUCACCUGACCAUUCAUCUUCUAUCCAUUUAUCUAUCAUCUAUCCAUCCAUCUUCUAUAUAUUAUCUAUGUAUCUAUCCAUCCAUCAUCUAUUAUCUAUCUAUCUAUCUAUCUAUCUAUCUAUCUGACACCUAUCUCUUAUUGUUGUCCUUCCAUUCCUGUAGAUAUGGACCAACUUCUUCCGUCCUUCUUUUUCUUCUACUUCUCUCUUUCUUUCUUCUUUCUUUCUUUCUCUUUCUUUCUUUCUUUUUCUCUCUCUUUCUCUCUCUCACUCUCUCUUUCUUUCUUUCCUCUCGACCCUGUUUAUUGAUAAUUCAACAGAACCAGUUUGAAAUAUGGAGAAAUUAGGUCAACUCUACACUUUCACAUGGCUUAUUUUCAGCUUCCAAUCUUAGCUAGUGACAUGACUCUUUCUUCCAAGUCGAGGUCUUGCAGCACUUGCCUUCACUCCCGUAGCUGUAGUUAGACAGCACCUUAGGCUUGGGUCGACCCUCGGUGAACUCUAUGCCGUGUCCCGCCGCGCCACAGCACAGCUUUCUCCUCAUUGUCUUCUGGCUCUGACUGUAGACAUGGAAAAAGCAGAGUCAACCUGAAUCUUCUCCCUUGCACGAGGCCAACUGCUGCCUGAAUCAUCAUAGGAUUCUUUACUUUCUCUUGAAGAUAAACAACUUCACCAGAAAAUGUCCAAGUGUUGUUCAGCAAUUGAGAGUUUCUUUUGCUAUGUUUGUUUUCAUCACUUUUACUUCAUACCUUUUUUUUUUCAUUUAAUUUUGUGUCGUUUUUCUCAAGGCUGACACAUCACAAACUCUGUUUUCAACAGUCCGUAUUCCACAUUCAUUGCUUCUAACAUGGAGCUAACUUCUGCAAUGAUGUGGCCACCACUGGAACAGGAAGGUUGCUGUCAGAAUCUGGAGAAAUUCAUGGGAAGUUUAAUGUUGCCAGUGAGAGAAACACUCUGUGAGCUGUUCUUAGGGUCUGCUGGUGAGAUGGCUCAGGAAGGGUAAACACUGGAGGCAUGAGAAUACCAUCGAAGGGGCCGACUGCAGUGCCGGGCAUUGUGUAGGCCACAGCCACCAGUGCCUCCAUGUUUCUGACCAAAUGCUUCAGUGCCCUUUAGUGAGUGUGUCGCAGACAAGGCAUUUUUGUAUGAGAUCCAGGGUUCAUACCAUCAUGAUUCUUAGCCUUCAUAUUCAUCACACACUGGAAGGGACGCUGCGUGCCAGGCGUUCCGGCCGGCCAUCUGCGGGGGAAGGAGGAGCAU
This 2776-nucleotide long non-coding RNA is filed under the name Homo sapiens (human). Its description in RNAcentral is "non-protein coding lnc-IRF4-20:4". Lineage: Eukaryota; Metazoa; Chordata; Mammalia; Primates; Hominidae. The record is from RNAcentral.